GGGUGAGCUACUAGAGCCCAGUGAGCAGAAUAGUAAAACAUUAUAUUUAAAACAUAUGCUUUCAUGGAAUGCAUCACAUCACAAACAAUUCACAUCACAAACAAUUCGCAUCAAGGAUGGACUUGUCACCAAUAGUCUUCUACACAUUCCAGUGGUGCCAGGGGCGUAGAAUGGGCCUCACUGGUCUUUCUCUUAACAUAACAUGACAUAACAUUCCAAUAUGCCAGGGGCGUAGAAUGGGCCUCACUGGUCUUUCUCUUACUCUGUGUCAGGGGCGUAGAAUGGGCCUCACUGGACUUCCAUACCGUAUCAUCGUCAUCGUAUCAUACCGAGGACUAAUGGAUCAUCCAACAUCCAUCCACAUCAACAUCAAAGUAUGUAAUGCAACAUAUUCGUGGAUUCUAAUGCAAGCAAUCUAAUAUAUCAUGGCAUUCAUGAUGCAUGAACAUGCUCAAAAUUUAUUUACUUUAA
This 471-nucleotide long non-coding RNA is filed under the name Manihot esculenta (cassava). RNAcentral describes it as "long non-coding RNA (MESC_LNC005856)". Lineage: Eukaryota; Viridiplantae; Streptophyta; Magnoliopsida; Malpighiales; Euphorbiaceae. The record is from RNAcentral.